AAGUUUUCCGUAGGUGAACCUGCGGAAGGAUCAUCAACACGCAUCCAACGUUAAACCCCCCUGUGAACUUUUACACUUGCUCUCGUGGCCUGCUAAAAUUGCAAUCCCUGGCAAAUCAUUGUUGAACAGAUUUUGGUUCAGGGACCUCAGUUUGGUAGGUUUCGAUGGAUCCAUCGUUGCAAGUGACCUGGUUUCCGAAGCAUCAUGUCUGAAAGUGUCAUUGUUGUGGAAGGAUAACGCUUUUCGAUCACUGCUCGAACACCGGCCAGUGGACGGGUCGCAGCGGCUUCGGGACGAACAACUGUUAACAAUGGAUAUCUUGGUUCUC
This 328-nucleotide unclassified non-coding RNA is filed under the name fungal sp. RNAcentral describes it as "partial internal transcribed spacer region". The record is from RNAcentral. Lineage: Eukaryota; Fungi.